Molecule: long non-coding RNA, 488 nt
Filed under: Linum usitatissimum (flax)
Lineage: Eukaryota; Viridiplantae; Streptophyta; Magnoliopsida; Malpighiales; Linaceae
Description: long non-coding RNA (LUSI_LNC007896)
Source: RNAcentral
AAAAAUCAAACUCAAUAUUUUCUGUUAUGUCUACGGUUAAUAUCAUCCAACUUUCAAAAAAAUAACUCAAGCACCUGAGUAUAAAUUGAUUGCAUAAAUCAAAAUUUACCAAUUUUAAAAUACGCAGACUUUCAUCCUGAGAUACCGGUAAGUAGGGCAAAAAUAGUAAUUCGAGUCCAACAAAAAAAAUCUCUCCCGCAGACUUUCAUCCCGAGAUACCAGUAGGUAGGGAAAAAAUAGUAAUUCGAGUCCAAUAAAAAAAGUCUCUCUCGUUAUUCGUAACGGUCAAUAUCACUACAGUUUCAAAAGAAUUCAAUACGAGCAGUAGAGUAUAAAUGCACUGCAAACGCAAACAGAAUUUAUCAAUUUUGAACUGAGCAGACUUUGAUCCCGAGAUCCGGGAAUGUUGGAAAUCAGAAAGGAUUAGUGUCCAUCCAUACAAAUUUCUCCCGUUAUUUGUAACGGUUAGUAUCACCAAACAUUCUAAA